This 396-nucleotide ribosomal RNA is filed under the name uncultured bacterium. Its description in RNAcentral is "bacterial SSU rRNA". It matches the Rfam family "Bacterial small subunit ribosomal RNA", at positions 28 to 429 of the family's 1533-position model. The record is from RNAcentral.
GACGAACGCUGGCGGCGUGCUUAACACAUGCAAGUCGAGCGGUAAGGCCCCUCGGGGGUACACGAGCGGCGAACGGGUGAGUAACACGUGGGUGACCUGCCCUCAGCUCUGGGAUAAGCCUGGGAAACUGGGUCUAAUACCGGAUAUGACUCCAUGACGCAUGUCGUGGGGUGGAAAGCCUUGUGCGGCUGGGGAUGGGCCCGCGGCCUAUCAGCUUGUUGGUGGGGUGAUGGCCUACCAAGGCGACGACGGGUAGCCGGCCUGAGAGGGCGACCGGCCACACUGGGACUGAGACACGGCCCAGACUCCUACGGGAGGCAGCAGUGGGGAAUCUUGCGCAAUGGGCGAAAGCCUGGCGCAGCGACGCCGCGUGAGGGAUGACGGCCUGGUUGUAAC